This is an RNA transcript of Hevea brasiliensis (rubber tree), 3583 nucleotides long. RefSeq lists it as uncharacterized. Lineage: Eukaryota; Viridiplantae; Streptophyta; Magnoliopsida; Malpighiales; Euphorbiaceae. The record is from RefSeq and is a predicted model, not a curated record. The transcript is spliced from 6 exons.
UCGCUUUGGGUGCGAGAGGUCCCGAGUUCGAUUCUCGGAAUGCCCCUGAAACUGGCUUUUUUCUUUUUUUAUUGCGUUUGCGACUAAUUACGAAGAAUGCCCAUUACCUGUUCGAUUAUUUGCGCCUCAAACAUUGAACUUUGUCCGCCGGAACAAUGUCGGCCUGGACUGCUACUUGGAAAGAAAGAGUUUGAGAGUUAGUUUGCCGGAAGAUCAAUGCAGGGCUAUUGUAGACUCUUAGUAUUUUUAAAUAAGCAAUGGCCCUAGCAUCUGAAGAUUUCUAAAUCCCCAGAAAGCAAAACCCCUUAAAAGGCAAAAAUUAGUCAUGGCAGAAUCGUCUCUUUUCUUCUGCUUUCCUACUUAUUCUAAUCCCACCUUCUUGGGUAGGCAAAGUUAGAUGGUGUUUGGGUAAGUAGUGAUAGGUCCACACCACUUAUUGCAAAGGCAUGUCUCAGUUCCAACUUCCUCAGCCUCAUCCGAAGGAAGGUUGAAGUCAUCAAUUUGGAUCCUGCAAAAUGCAAAUUAUGGGUUGCCAUAUCUUUUUUUACUAUUGUUGUGUUUGCUUGUAGUCAAAUUCAGUCAAUGGGAAGUUCCUUCAUAUGAAUUUAGAUAUGAGUGUGCUGUGAAUGUUGAGUAUCUCAUUAAACUAUGUAAUAAUGGAGCAUUCUCUUGAUCCUAAUGGAGGUGAGUCUCCCUUUUCAUUUUCUUUCUUUGUAAACAGCUUCAUAUUCUGUUACUAUUCACCAUACUUGUGGCUACCUGGCAAGACCUGGCCCGGUCCCAUUAUUUGCUACGUACUUGAAUGUUAUGACAAAUCUCUGGACUUAUGAACUACUGGUUCCUUAAUUAUUAUCCCAUCAUAUCAGAUGGUUGCAAUCUGAUCUUAUUACCUUUCCCUGGAGGGCAAAAAUUAACCAUCUGGUUGAUACUUCCAAAAUCUAAAAGAUUGGGUUAAGCGGCCUUUCACAAGUGACAGUAUAGUUUAUAGUCCUGUCAACUCCUUUAGCCCUAUCCUGAUGGCCUUAUGUCAGUUGGAUGACCAAGAAGCCUCGAAUACCAUGAAAGCACGGAAAUGGGGAGGGGGAAGGGAAGGGGAAGAGGGGGGAAGAGGAGGAGGAUCAUCCCUAGGGCUGAUGAUAACUGGGAUGACCAAGGAGCCUCGAAUACCAUGUAAGCACGGAAAUGGGGAGGGGGAAGGGAAGGGGAAGAGGGGGAGGAUCAUCCCUAGGGCUGAUGAUAACUGGGAGUUGUUUGGUAGUUCCAUAUGCUCUUAUUUUGGAAAUAUGAAGUUAAUUCAAAUUUUAAUUAAUUAAUGUUCUAAUCAACAUGCUCGUAGAUGUAGUGGAUAGUUUUAUCAUUCUGCAGUUUCUUUAAGUGUUUUUUCUUAUGUUUCACUAGAUCUUGUGUAUUGCAUGGAUUUUUUAGAGAAGAAUAUUGGCUGGUUGCAAUCUAAAUUGGAAACUCUGUUGAAUGGUUGGCAUAUUAGACCCCCCUUGUUUUAUGUAUACUUUUGAUCCAUUCUUGUUUGUACUUUCAUUCUGUUUGGAUGGUAUUGUAUUCAUAGUCUUGGAGCAUAUGUGGAGAGCUGUAGGGUUUUGCUCCAAUGUCUUUUUAGUCUCUUGAAACAAGUAGAAGGCUAUUGUGAAGAGACUUCAUAUUGUCCUCAUUGAAUGAAAAUGGCACAAUUGACUUAUAUUAUAGUUCUAAAUAAUGUGGGUGAUUAAUUGUCAAUCCAAAUUAUACAAUUAUCAUAUUCAUGGGAAUCUUUGUAGUAUGUAAAAUAAUCUAAAUUAUGUAUGCUAACAUUUUUUAAAAGUGAAUAAAACAUUGGUUUAGACACAAAGGCUGUAAAGUUGAUGCAAACAUUGAGUUUAGACUUGAUUCUCUCAGCUAUGAUUGGGUUUUGCAGCACUAUUGGGCCUCUUUUGGAAAAGAUUAAGUUAGUCAGGAAGAAUAUUUGGGAGUUUCGUCACAGCAUCAGACACUUUCCUUGCUUACAUGCAUUGUUAUUGUACUUGUGCAUUGAAGUCCUGAAGUACUGUUGUAAAGAAAUGUUUUAAAAGGGUAUUGAUAUUAUCAUCUCAAAAGCUGUAACAUUUUGAAGAUAAGGAAUCCUUUUCUGUAUUCAUAAUUUUACCUUAGAAGAUUAUAAAUUACUUGCAUCACAUGAACAUAGGCUUUAAUGAAAAAUAUUACAAUUUGUUGGCACUGUUAGAAAAAUUUUCUCAUGUGGAAUCUCUAAUUAAUUACACAUGCUGUUGGAUGAUAAGUAUGUUUUGCAUAGAAUUGACAACGGCUGUGGAAAACGAAUGAAGUUAGCCUACAUGAACUUGAAAGAGGCAUCCUAUGCAACGUACUUGCAACCAUUGUAUCAGAUGGGAAAAGAUCUGCUCUGUGUUUGACAGUUAGAUGCUAUUAAGCUAGAUUAACUUACUGAUCUUUAAACAUUGUCUGUCCAUCCAUCUCUGUGUGUGUGUGGGUCAAUUUAUUGUUCAUUAUAAUUUGUUGCAGCAGUCGAUGUUUAUGUUGUCUAACAACUAUGCAGAUUGCUACCUUCUUUUUGAUUUUUCUGGUCAGGUGGAAUUAUUUUUCCUUCACUCAAAUGCCAAGAAUGUUAUAAUGAAACUCAUGAAGAAGUUGAACCUUAGGCUUUCAACCUCGAUUUUUACAGAGGUUCAAGACCUAUUAUAUUUGGAGCACCAUCUUGAUCAGGAUCCUCAUGCUUCUAACUACAGGACUUCAAUGAAAGCUUACAAAGGAGCUACGUACGGUGAUAGAAGAUUAGUCUUGUUGAUUUUGCAACCUUAGAUGUUUUCAGUACCUACUUGGGUGAGACAAUAGUGUGGCUAUGUUUUCCGAUUUUCACGUUUUUAUAUCAACUGAUUAGCUCAGUCAAGGAAUUUCACCUGUAAAAGAUAUUGAGAACACUGAUCAAAGGGCUUGGUUCUUCUCAUCUCCACUUGCCUUCCUGAGGGACAUGUAUAUAGGGAACACUCUGGAUUUGUAAAGUGAAGAUUGUUCAACUUCAAAACUUAAAAUGAUUACUAUCAGAAUUUUGAUAUGUAAUGGAGGCUAAUGUAUUUGGUUUUGCAAACGAUUAUUUCCAUUGGGCUGGACAUAAUUUCUCUAAUGACUUUUUGCUAGUGUCAUGGGUCUGGAGUUUUGUUAUUAGAAGGAAGCUCAACACCCACGAUUCAUUGCAUCAUGGACACUUUUCAUUUUGAGGAUAGCAAAAAGUUGAUCCAGUGCAUGAAGCAUCACGCUUUGUGGAUUUUGGAGAGGAGUUGAAGAACAGUUGCAAAUAAUCCAAGAGAAAAUAUUGUGAUUGCAGGAAUGGCAGAUGGUGAAAGUUUUUCAAUCAUGGAUCAAGUUUCUAUGGACGGCCAAACCAUUUGCUACUGUUUCCCAAGUAUGCAUUACUUAUUGUAAUUGUACUAGAUACUCAAGGUCAGUUGUGGUGGCGCAUGACUGAUAAAGUCUUUGUUCUUCCAAAUGAAAGUGAUAGAUUUAUAGUCUAGCAUAUAGAAAAUUUAUGAGACCAAUUGGCAAAUAAAUCAUAGCAAACUUGACAUUGUUUAUGGUA